RNAcentral lists this long non-coding RNA (2222 nucleotides) under Malus domestica (apple). Its description in RNAcentral is "long non-coding RNA (MDOM_LNC008646)". The record is from RNAcentral. Lineage: Eukaryota; Viridiplantae; Streptophyta; Magnoliopsida; Rosales; Rosaceae.
UCUCCAUGAGAGAAGACACAGCACGUGCUGAUCUUAACGGACUGUCAAUGCCCAAUUGGCAAUCCUAUGAUCAGGAACGUUUAGGAUAUGUAUACGAAAGAGAAUGGUCUCAUGAAUCUAACUUCCUUAAAUUACAUUCUCCUAAUUACAUAUUCCUUGGACUUAUCGUUUAAGCAUAUAACAUUUAUAUGAGACAGCUUAAAACAAUAAUCUUUGCCCUUGAUAUUAAACUAGAUUAGUUUAACAUGUGAAAUGUCCGUAAAGUAUCAUCAUAUGAUUGGUUCACAUUUCUAACAGUGACACUUUGGUCGGCACACACCCUUGACCUUAGGCUUGCUCACGGUUGUUAUCUGACUCGCAUGUUGCUUGGAUGUGCUUCCACCAUUAACAAGAGUGUGCAAAUUUGGUUCCAACAUAUAUUGCACUCACGAGUGUGAUUCCUAUAUAAUAUAUGACAAUAGAGAGAAUAGAUAAUAAUCAUAAAAAAUAGAGGGAAAAAAUAGACGAGUCUCAUACUUUAUAUAUAAAUUUUACAUAUCAAACUCACAUUACCAUGAAAAUAGUGUACGAAUGAACUUAUAGUGUAUUUCUUAUAGAUUGACAUCACACUCACCUAAUUAGAUGUGGAAGACCUAAUGGGAGAAAGAUUAGGCUAACUGUAUAUGUCAUAGUUAUUCAAAUGAAUCGAACAAAAGACGUCUAACCUACAAAUCAUAGCUAUACGGUAAUAUUAGUUGAUACCUUGACCAAUACUAUGGACGAAGUGUAUCAAAAGCAUUUCAAUGUGCCCAAAUUUAGGGUGGUAAAAUGUAAAACUUGUUGUGACAUAUGUUCUAAUACAUAUUGUGAUUGUGUAAAUCCCAAGUAGAGAUACAUUAGGAAUCCUUUGGGAUCUAGAAGAUCUUCCCUAAUAGACUUUGUAUUAUUUGGAGAGCAAGUUUCUCUCCUCCUUAUUACUAUAAAUAAAGGCACGAGGACUGGGGAAUUAACACACAAUUCCUUAAGCCUAUUCUCCAUUCUCUUUCUCUCUAUGUUGCACCCCUCAGUUAAAUUUAGGCCAUAACACGUUAUCAGCACACUCUUCAUGAUGUGCUAAAGAGAAUUUAUUCAUCGUCAAUCAGGGGAGUAUUACGUUUCAAUUAUUUUAGUUGACUAAAUUUUGAUUUUAUUGAAUUCAUAUAUUUUUAUUGAUUCAAUGUUUUUUUUUCUUGUGCUGAACAUGAUACAAGUUUUGAAGAUAGAAAGAUGAAAUUGAAGAAAUAAUUUUCUGCAUCAAACCAGUUCAUCAAUAUCAUCACGUAAUCAAGUUCUUCCAAAACAACGGUUUUUAUCUUGAUUUUUGCUGACACACCCUGAUCUUAGAAUCAAGGCGUGCUGGCCGUCACGUGAGCGUGACGUAACCAAAGGUACGAUGCGGAAGUAAAAGAUAAAAGAAUUACGAAGGAAUAAAAACCAACUACUAGCAAUAAUAACCAACUAGCAUACUAGAGUGAGUUUAAGUGUGAAACACACAUAUUCAGAGCAUAAGUACUAGGUGCAAUCAAGUAGGACCAUAACUAAAUUACAACACCCGGAGGUGAGUCCUACAUUUAUGUAGUCCGUUAGUAAGCCAUGGAAAUCCUCAUGGGCCACCAACACCGCUAACUAGAACCUGGAGGGGCGCAAAACAAAAUUGAGUGGGUCAGUAAAACAAAGCUUUUCGAAAACAUUUCAAAUAAUAACAUUUCUAACCCCUCGCUGUAAAACCUGUAUACUUUCCUAGAAAAUAACAUAAUAUGCGUAUAAUUCUUCAAAUAUCUCAAAUCACCAAUCUUUAUGAAAACCAGAAAGUAUGCCAUGCAAUAAGCGGCAAUAACAAAAUAAGGAUGGAACAUUAUAACAGGUGAAAUAAGGAAUCAACCGGAGACCCUACAGUUGGUCCUGUAUGGUUAAUUCUAUAGCUCAAUAUCCAACCAACCGGAGUCACCACAGUGACCUGUACGGCACUACUCUGCACAUACAUCGGAACUACCUGAAGUAGUUUGUACGAUAAGAAAGGUGUAAGAAUACGCUCUAGUGCUUCUCUCAUCAACAGCUGUAUAAUAAUCUAAAAUCACCUCCAAGUCGGAACCACCUCUCAUGGUCUGUAUGACAUGUCGGAACCCUUUAAUGGUCUGUACGACAUGCACCUACUUGGAUCCAAGGUGAGCGUGUGGUGUGGGGUGAAUAAUAUAAGCACUAAC